GAUGAACGCUGGCGGCGUGCCUAAUACAUGCAAGUCGAGCGAACAGACGAGGAGCUUGCUCCUCUGACGUUAGCGGCGGACGGGUGAGUAACACGUGGAUAACCUACCUAUAAGACUGGGAUAACUUCGGGAAACCGGAGCUAAUACCGGAUAAUAUAUUGAACCGCAUGGUUCAAUAGUGAAAGACGGUUUUGCUUUCACUUAUAGAUGGAUCCGCGCCGCAUUAGCUAGUUGGUAAGGUAACGGCUUACGAAGGCAACGAUGCGUAGCCGACCUGAGAGGGUGAUCGGCCACACUGGAACUGAGACACGGUCCAGACUCCUACGGGAGGCAGCAGUAGGGAAUCUUCCGCAAUGGGCGAAAGCCUGACGGAGCAACGCCGCGUGAGUGAUGAAGGUCUUCGGAUCGUAAAACUCUGUUAUUAGGGAAGAACAAAUGUGUAAGUAACUAUGCACGUCUUGACGGUACCUAAUCAGAAAGCCACGGCUAACUACGUG
RNAcentral lists this ribosomal RNA (497 nucleotides) under uncultured bacterium. RNAcentral describes it as "partial 16S ribosomal RNA". It matches the Rfam family "Bacterial small subunit ribosomal RNA", at positions 28 to 507 of the family's 1533-position model. The record is from RNAcentral.